RNAcentral lists this ribosomal RNA (472 nucleotides) under uncultured bacterium. RNAcentral describes it as "bacterial SSU rRNA". It matches the Rfam family "Bacterial small subunit ribosomal RNA", at positions 1 to 479 of the family's 1533-position model. The record is from RNAcentral.
AUUAAGAGUUUGAUCCUGGCUCAGAAUCAACGCUGGCGGCGUGCCUAACACAUGCAAGUCGAACGCGAAAGGGGCUUCGGCCCUGAGUAGAGUGGCAAACGGGUGAGUAACGCGUGGGUGACCUGCCCUCGAGUGGGGGAUAACGUUCCGAAAGGAGCGCUAAUACCGCAUGACAUCCUGCCUUUGGACAGGCGGUGAUCAAAGCUGGGGCCGCAAGGCCUGGCGCUUGAGGAGGGGCCCGCGUCCGAUUAGCUAGUUGGUAGGGUAAUGGCCUACCAAGGCGACGAUCGGUAGCCGGCCUGAGAGGGCGGACGGCACACUGGGACUGAGACACGGCCCAGACUCCUACGGGAGGCAGCAGUGGGGAAUUGUUCGCAAUGGGCGCAAGCCUGACGACGCAACGCCGCGUGGAGGAUGAAGGUCUUCGGAUUAACUCCUGUUGACCGGGAAGAAUGCCUUUGGGGCUAAUACC